This is a non-coding RNA of Oryza meridionalis, 196 nucleotides long. The record is from Rfam. Lineage: Eukaryota; Viridiplantae; Streptophyta; Magnoliopsida; Poales; Poaceae.
AAUAAGCGCGGAGAUUUUCCAUGUCCAACUUUAACAUUGUCUUAUUUAAAAAAAAUUAUGAUUAGAAUUUUUAUUGUUAUCAGAAUAUAAAACAUGAAUAGUAAUUUACGUGUGACUUAUGUUUUUUAGUUUUUUUUUUAAAAAAAAUAAGAUGAACGAUUAAAGUUGGAUACGGAAACUUAUAGUUACACUUAUU